Molecule: long non-coding RNA, 1214 nt
Filed under: Prunus persica (peach)
Lineage: Eukaryota; Viridiplantae; Streptophyta; Magnoliopsida; Rosales; Rosaceae
Description: long non-coding RNA (PPER_LNC005987)
Source: RNAcentral
CUCUCUCUCUCCUUCCGCGCGACUUGGCCGUGCGACCCUUCGCCUUCUCGGCGACGGCCCGGCCACCACAGGCCGAGCUGAUCUCCGCCGUGGGUACCAUCGGGUCCGCCUCCCUCUCGCCGUCAAAACCUGACCGACCUCCACCCUUGGGCCGCUCGGAGUUGAUCGGAAAACCAUGUUUUCCGACGGAGAUUCGUCCGAAACCACCCGAACUUCCAGCUCGAUUUUCUCCUUCAAUUUUCCACCAAAUCGGUCGAGUAAGGUAUGGUUUCUCAGCUAUUUUUCACGUUCUAGCUGAUGGAUGUACGGGUUUCGAUCGAUUUUAGUCCUAAAGCGAUUAAUUUUUGACUUGAAAUCUGGCCGAAACUUCGGCCGCCUAGAACUACUGUUUCUGGUCACUUUUUGGGGUUUGUCCAAGAACAAAAGUGACUCCAAAUGGGGUGUUCUACCUAGGAUAGGAAUUUGGAGUCUUGGUUCCGAGAUUUUUCGGCCACCCGAAAACGCUUAAGACACCCAAAUCUGACCGCGCGUGCUGGGACGCGUGGGCGAGGGUGGUGGAGUAAUUCUGUGCAGUUUUGUGACCUUCGUGUCGUCACGAGCGCGUAGGAUUUCGCGGAUCUAGAUUCGGAGUCCGUUUGAGCCCCGAACGGAUUUUCCAUAUCGCGCGAUCCGUGGGUGCAGUGUCGUCAAAUAAUUGGAUCGCGCUGGAUUUCGGAUAUGUCGGUCUACACGAUCUCAGGAUCGUGUAGGAUUCAACGGAUUGCGAAUCGGAGUCCCGGAUACUCCGAAAUCGCGAACCCUGGGGCUAGGGUUUGGAUUUUAAGCGAUAACGCGAUUUUGGCUAAUCUGACCGUCCGUUUCGGACCAAAAUCGCAGAACAUGGUUCCUUCUCUGUAAGGAACCUUCAGAGGAGCCCAGAUUGGCCAUCGGAGGCCGUGGACCCACGGGGUCCCGGAUCGGCCGAUCUGGCAGCUUACCGCUUAUUUAUUUUUCGGGUCUCUUAAGGCCGGUCUAACUGUCCCAAAAAGCUAAGGUGGGCAUAGAAGUAACCUGAAACGAGUGCACGUAUUUCUAAGAGCCGGGGGCAGGGUGUUUAGUUGAAAUUCUUUUUAUUCAGCAGUUUAUUAAUUUAACUUUUAUGGGUAAUCAGGCACCAGGAGCCCGACAGGAUUGCAAAAGAGACCUUCGAAGGGUCAAAGUAGCUCGGACCAUCU